Molecule: long non-coding RNA, 4593 nt
Filed under: Sus scrofa (pig)
Lineage: Eukaryota; Metazoa; Chordata; Mammalia; Artiodactyla; Suidae
Description: lncRNA (ENSSSCG00035071059.1)
Source: RNAcentral
CCGUCCUGCAGAAGAGGCGAACCUGCGCUAAUGACACGGGUGGCGCCUGGUGCUUAGGUCCUGUUGCCAUCGUUUUGGACAGUUAAGUGCCCGCGAGCUAAACCCGGUGUCUUCGUUUAGUACUGGGAGCUUGGCAUCGGUGUUAAACUAGUUGAGGAGGUGUUUGGUUCAGAAUGGCUUCAGUCGUUUGAACUCCCAGCUCUCUGGAUUUGAGACCUCAACCAUCAGCCUCUCAGGAGAGGUUUAGGUUUGGAGAAAAUCGAGGAACAGAGUUUGCAAGCCAGUGGCAACAAUGACGGUUAAACUUCCCAGUCACUGCCUUUAGUUCCACUCUGGGCCGAGCUCCGUUUGGGGCUCACCUCCUCUUUGGUCAGGCGGACAUCAGCUGAGGAAACGUGCAGUGAGUAUGGGAGAGUCCCUUGUAAAGGAGCAGGCUUCAGCCUUCCAGGUGCAGAAAUGGAAAUGUGUACAAGGUAUGGCGACGGGAAAGAGGGGCAGCGAUCGCCUGCUGGAAGACCGUCACAGAGAACAUAGGUCUUGAUCUGGGGCUUCGAAGACGAAGGACCGGUGGUGGGUGCACUGCAGGCAAAAGCUGGCAGGCUGACAGAGGCGGCCUCAGGACGGACCUUCUGGCUAUUGACCAUUUUGCUGUGGCUCACCCGGACCGUGUGGAGGCGCGAGAUCAACCAUGAGCUCCGUUGCAGUUUUGACCCAAGAGAGCUUUGCUGAGCACCGCAGUGGACUCAUUCCGCAGCAGAUAAGAGUUGCCACUUUAAAUUCAGAAGAGGAGAGCGACCCUCCAACCUACAAGGAUGCCUUCCCCCCGCUCCCCGAGAAAGCAGCUUGCUUGGAAAACCCCCAGGAACCUGCCGGCGCCUGGAGCAACAAAAUCCGGCCCAUCAAGGCGUCCGUCAUCACUCAGGUGUUCCACGUACCCCUGGAGGAGAGGAAGUACAAGGACAUGAACCAGUUUGGAGAAGGUGAACAAGCCAAAAUCUGCCUCGAGAUCAUGCAGAGGACCGGCGCUCACCUGGAGCUGUCCCUCGCCAAAGACCAGGGCCUCUCCAUCAUGGUUUCUGGGAAGCUGGACGCCGUCAUGAAGGCCCGGAAGGACAUUGUCGCUCGGCUGCAGACUCAGGCCUCCGCCACCGUUGCCAUCCCCAAAGAGCACCAUCGCUUUGUCAUCGGCAAAAACGGAGAGAAACUGCAGGACUUGGAGCUCAAAACCGCAACCAAAAUCCAGAUCCCACGCCCCGAUGACGCCAGCAAUCAGAUCAGGAUCACCGGCACCAAAGAGGGCAUCGAGAAGGCUCGCCACGAGGUCCUGCUCAUCUCCGCGGAGCAGGACAAACGUGCGGUGGAGCGGCUCGAGGUGGAGAAGGCCUUCCACCCCUUCAUCGCGGGGCCCUACAACCGGCUGGUCAGCGAGAUCAUGCAGGAGACGGGCACACGCAUCAACAUCCCGCCGCCCAGCGUCAACCGCACCGAGAUCGUCUUCACGGGCGAAAAGGAGCAGCUGGCGCAGGCCGUGGCUCGCAUCCGCAAGAUCUACGAGGAGAAGGCCAACAGCUUCACGGUCUCCUCCGUCUCGGCUCCUUCCUGGCUUCACCGUUUCAUCAUUGGCAAGAAGGGUCAGAACCUGGCCAAAAUCACCCAGCAGAUGCCCAAGGUUCACGUUGAGUUCACGGAAGGCGAGGACAGGAUCACCCUGGAAGGCCCCACGGAGGACGUCAGCGCGGCCCAGGAGCAGAUCGAAGCCAUGGUCAAGGACUUGGUGAGCCGGAUGGACUACGUGGAGAUCAGCAUCGACCACAAGUUCCACAGACACCUCAUCGGGAAGAGCGGGGCCAACAUAAACAGGAUCAAGGACCAGUACAAGGUGUCGGUGCGCAUACCCCCCGACAGCGAGAGGAGCAGCCUGAUCCGCAUCGAGGGCGACCCGCAGGGCGUGCAGCAGGCCAAGCGCGAGCUGCUGGAGCUCGCCUCCCGCAUGGAGAACGAGCGCACCAAGGAUCUGAUCAUCGAGCAGAGGUUCCAUCGCACCAUCAUCGGGCAGAAGGGGGAGCGGAUCCGAGAGAUUCGGGACAAAUUCCCGGAGGUUAUCAUCAACUUUCCAGACCCAGCCCAGAAAAGCGAUAUUGUUCAACUCAGGGGGCCCAAGAACGAGGUGGAAAAAUGCACGAAAUACAUGCAGAAGAUGGUGGCAGAUCUGGUGGAAAACAGCUAUUCGAUUUCUGUUCCGAUCUUCAAGCAGUUUCACAAGAACAUCAUCGGGAAAGGAGGGGCCAACAUUAAGAAGAUUCGAGAAGAGAGCAACACCAAGAUCGACCUCCCCGCCGAGAACAGCAACUCAGAGACCAUUGUCAUCACAGGCAAGCGAGCCAACUGCGAGGCUGCCCGGAGCCGCAUUCUGUCCAUCCAGAAAGACCUGGCCAACAUCGCCGAGGUGGAGGUCGCCAUCCCUGCCCGGCUGCACAACGCCCUCAUCGGCACCAAGGGCCGGCUCAUCCGCUCCAUCAUGGAGGAGUGCGGCGGCGUCCACAUCCACUUCCCCGUGGAAGGCUCCGGGAGCGACACCGUGGUCAUCAGGGGCCCUUCCUCCGACGUGGAGAAGGCCCGCAAGCAGCUCCUGCACCUGGCGGAGGAGAAGCAAACCAAGAGCUUCACCGUCGACAUCCGAGCCAAGCCGGAAUACCACAAGUUCCUCAUCGGCAAAGGGGGCGGCAAAAUCCGCAAGGUGCGCGACAGCACCGGGGCCCGCAUCAUCUUCCCCGCCGCCGAGGACAAGGACCAGGACCUGAUCACCAUCAUAGGCAGGGAGGACGCCGUCCGGGAGGCCCAGCGGGAGCUGGAGGCCCUGAUCCAGAACCUGGACAACGUGGUUGAGGACUUCAUGCUGGUGGACCCCAGGCACCACCGUCACUUUGUCAUCCGACGAGGCCAGGUCCUGCGGGAGAUCGCAGAGGAGUACGGCGGGGUGAUGGUUAGCUUCCCCCGCUCCGGCACGCAGAGCGACAGAGUCACCCUGAAGGGGGCCAAGGACUGCGUGGAGGCGGCCAAGAAGCGCAUUCAGGAGAUCAUCGAGGACCUGGAAGCCCAGGUGACCAUAGAGUGCGCCAUUCCCCAGAAGUUCCAUCGCUCGGUCAUGGGCCCCAAAGGUUCCAGAAUCCAGCAGAUAACUCGCGACCAUAACGUUCAGAUUAAAUUCCCAGACAGAGAGGAGAACCCAGCGCACGGCACGGAGCCAGCCGUCCAGGAGAACGGCGACGACCCCGGGGAGGGGAGAGACGGGAAGGAGGCCGAGCCCGGCUCCCCCAGGAGAUGCGACAUCAUCACCAUCUCCGGCCGGAAGGAGAAGUGCGAGGCCGCCGCCCUGGUUCCCGUCACCAUUGAGGUGGAGGUGCCCCUUGACCUUCACCGGUACAUCAUCGGCCAGAAGGGGAGCGGGAUCCGCAGGAUGAUGGACGAGUUUGAGGUGAAUAUUCACGUCCCGGCCCCCGAGCUGCAGUCAGGCGUCAUCGCCAUCACGGGCCUGGCUGCCAACCUGGACCGGGCCAAGGCUGGGCUGCUGGAGCGGGUGAAGGAGCUGCAGGCGGAGCAGGAAGACCGGGCUUUGCGGAGCUUCAAGCUGAGCGUCACCGUUGACCCCAAGUACCACCCCAAGAUCAUCGGGCGGAAGGGGGCGGUGAUCACCCAGAUCCGCCUGGAGCACGACGUCAACAUCCAGUUUCCUGAUAAGGACGAUGGGAGCCAGCCGCAGGACCACAUCACCAUCACGGGCUACGAGAAGAACACCGAGGCCGCCCGGGACGCCAUCCUCAAGAUCGUGGGGGAGCUCGAGCAGAUGGUUUCUGAGGACGUGCCGCUCGACCACCGCGUCCACGCCCGCAUCAUCGGUGCCCGCGGCGUGGACAUUCGCUUCCCGCAGAGCGGGGCCCCCGACCCCAACUGCGUCACCGUGACGGGGCUGCCGGAGAACGUGGAGGAAGCCAUCGACCACAUCCUCAACCUGGAGGAGGAAUACCUGGCCGACGUGGUGGACACCGAGGCGCUGCAGCUGUACAUGAAGCCCCCGGCCCACGAGGAGGCCAAGGCGCCGUCCAGGGGCUUCGUGGUGCGGGACGCCCCCUGGACCGCCAGCAGCAGCGAGAAGGCUCCCGACAUGAGCAGCUCGGAGGAGUUCCCCAGCUUCGGGGCUCAGGUGGCCCCCAAGACCCUCCCCUGGGGCCCCAAACGAUAAUGCUCGACAAGCAGAAACCUCUCCAGCCUGCUGACCUGAACCCGCCACACGAUGGUCCGUCUCAAUCCGACCCAGCGGCUGGACCCUCCGCAAAUUCUUGACGCCCCUUCCCCGAGGUCUCACAGCGAAGCCGGCGUGGCCCGCGCCCUGGCGGCCGGGUCUCAGGCCUGGCCGCCCCCGGCACAGGCUCUGCUCCCGACCUCUGUGCUGGGGUGGCGGCCGCACGAGCCCCGCGGAGGCCCGCGUCAUCCACCCGGCCUGCCCCGGCUCCGGCCUCCCCGGGAGAGCGCUGCAGCUGCGGCCGCGUCCACUUCCUGUGUCACGACCUCAGGAAAUAAAUGUCCUUGACUUUC